This 123-nucleotide small RNA is filed under the name Hafnia alvei. Its description in RNAcentral is "Manganese sequence". It matches the Rfam family "Manganese Mn2+ riboswitch aptamer (yybP-ykoY)". From Rfam's summary of the family: This RNA was originally discovered in E. coli during a large scale screen and was named SraF. RNAcentral also lists the same sequence under 1 other name. The record is from RNAcentral. Lineage: Bacteria; Pseudomonadati; Pseudomonadota; Gammaproteobacteria; Enterobacterales; Hafniaceae.
CCGACACUAUCAUUGGGGAGUAGCCAUCCUUCAGCCGUACUGGGAGUACUGCUAGGGAGUCCACGUCAACAAACUUGAGGUUUAUUUCCUCAUGGCGUGGUCAGCCAUUGCGAAAGCAUAGCC